UACGUAGGGAGCAAGCGUUGUCCGGAAUCAUUGGGCGUAAAGCGCGCGUAGGCGGCCCGGUAAGUCCGCUCUGAAAGUCCAGGGCUUAACCCUGGAAAGCGGGUGGAUACUGCCGGGCUAGAAUCCGGAAGAGGCGAGUGGAAUUCCUGGUGUAGCGGUGGAAUGCGCAGAUAUCAGGAGGAACACCAAUAGCGAAGGCAGCUCGCUGGGACGGUAUUGACGCUGAGGCGCGAAAGCCAGGGGAGCAAACGGG
RNAcentral lists this ribosomal RNA (253 nucleotides) under uncultured bacterium. RNAcentral's name for it is "partial 16S ribosomal RNA". It matches the Rfam family "Bacterial small subunit ribosomal RNA", at positions 524 to 776 of the family's 1533-position model. The record is from RNAcentral.